UACAGAGGUGGCAAGCGUUGUUCGGAAUUACUGGGCGUAAAGGGCGCGUAGGCGGUUCGUUAAGUCCUGUGUGAAAUCCCCCGGCUCAACUGGGGAACUGCACAGGAAACUAGCGGGCUUGGGUUCGGGAGAGGGAAGCGGAAUUCCGGGUGUAGCGGUGAAAUGCGUAGAUAUCCGGAGGAACACCGGUGGCGAAGGCGGCUUCCUGGACCGACACUGACGCUGAGGCGCGAAAGCUAGGGGAGCAAACGGG
Molecule: ribosomal RNA, 253 nt
Filed under: uncultured bacterium
Lineage: Bacteria
Description: partial 16S ribosomal RNA
Rfam family: Bacterial small subunit ribosomal RNA
Source: RNAcentral